GACGAACGCUGGCGGCGUGCUUAACACAUGCAAGUCGAACGGAAAGGCCCUGCUUUUGUGUGGUGCUCGAGUGGCGAACGGGUGAGUAACACGUGAGUAACCUGCCCUUGACUUUGGGAUAACUUCAGGAAACUGGGGCUAAUACCGGAUAGGAGCUCCUGCUGCAUGGUGGGGGUUGGAAAGUUUCGGCGGUUGGGGAUGGACUGGGGGCUUAUCAGCUUGUUGGUGGGGUAGUGGCUUACCAAGGCUUUGGCGGGUAGCCGGCCUGGGAGGGUGACCGGCCACAUUGGGACUGAGGUACGGCCCAGACUCCUACGGGAGGCAGCAGUGGGGAAUAUUGCACAAUGGGCGGAAGCCUGAUGCAGCAACGCCGCGUGCGGGAUGACGGCCUUCGGGUUGUAAACCGCUUUCGCCUGUGACGAAGCGUGAGUGACGGUAAUGGGUAAAGAAGCACCGGCUAACUACGUG
This 468-nucleotide ribosomal RNA is filed under the name uncultured bacterium. Its description in RNAcentral is "partial 16S ribosomal RNA". It matches the Rfam family "Bacterial small subunit ribosomal RNA", at positions 28 to 507 of the family's 1533-position model. The record is from RNAcentral.